RNAcentral lists this long non-coding RNA (936 nucleotides) under Olea europaea subsp. europaea. Lineage: Eukaryota; Viridiplantae; Streptophyta; Magnoliopsida; Lamiales; Oleaceae. The record is from RNAcentral.
UGAGAGGCACUACAUACAUACAUGUCUCUUUUCUCUUGAAGUGGCUGCGCGACUUGACUAUGUGGUUUUCUCUUUUGGCUUCUGCCCACUGCCGUGACCAUCCCUCUUCUCCCUUUGCUGUCGGUGUUAGUCAUCUGUUGUGGUUAACCCGUCGGAUUAUUCUCAGUGUACAAAACAAAAAAAAAAUUCACAGGAUGUUUACAGGCUCUCACAUGGGUGUGGGCUCCAUGUGAAUAUUUUAUUACAAAAAAAAAAAAUCACCCACCUCACUAUUGAGUCUUAUCUUAAUACUUCUAUAAAAUUUCUCCUAAGUGUAGCUUGACUCUUUUGGUGUGUUCUUUGGGAGAUUUCUUCAUGGUUUGAGUGAGGUUAUAUGGUCCAAUUGUUGUGGAGUUGCCUUGUGACUUUUGGAUCGUUCUGAGCCUCGUUAUUACACUUUUGAUUGCAAAUGUUGUUCUUGAUAGGGAGAUUUCUUCAUGGUUUGAGUGAGGUUAUAUGGUCCAAUUGUGUGUGGAGUUGCCUUGUGACUUUGGAUCGUUCUGAGCCUCGUUAUUACACUUUUGGUUGCAAAUGUUGUUCUUGAUAGGGAAGUUCACUUCUUGCAUUAUACUAUUUGAUUCGACUAUUGCUAUUUCCAUUUGAAUUAUUUAAUUUCUUGUUUGAUUCUCUUUGAAGGAAUUAUUUAUUACAACACAUAAGAUCAAGAAGAGCAUAAAUGGGUCUAUUGCUAUGGUACAAGGUUAUCUCGACUCUAAGGGCUUGCUUGGGAGUUCAAUUUUCACCGAUUUUGACUGAUUUUGGAUGGCACCAUUUACGAGAGGUUAAAAAAAUUAGUGUUCGUAUGUUUUUUGGGACACCGAUUUUGGAUGGUUUAAAAAUCACCCAAAAUCAAUAUAGUGUAAUUUUGACCGGUUCUCUCAACCCAUCAAAUUAGCG